Molecule: long non-coding RNA, 608 nt
Organism: Diceros bicornis minor
Lineage: Eukaryota; Metazoa; Chordata; Mammalia; Perissodactyla; Rhinocerotidae
Exons: 5
Source: RefSeq, a predicted model, not a curated record
CGGCGGGGCGCACGUGAGCGCACGCGGCGCUUGUUUCUAAUUUUAGCUCCGGCUGCCUCCGGGGGGUCGGGCGAGAAGCUGAGCUACAAUUAUGUUUUAGGAUGCGUACAUCUAUCAAGUAAUGAAGCUAGCUGGAAACUACUGGAGGGGGUGUUCUAUCGAAAUGAGGGAAUAAACCAAGAGGAAUGCGUGAGACGCUGGAACCAGGGACUCCAACUAGUGUUACAAAGGAAUAGAGCAGCAGCAUGGACUGGAUUCUCUGGAAGAAGAUGCAGAAGUAUAAAUAUAAGGAACAGCAAGAGACAGCAGGUUGGGAGAAACUACAUAUGAAGCAGCAAAGAACCACACAAAGAGCAGAGCCAGAAGUAAUCAACUUGGUUCACUGACACCAUCAACCUCACAUUCUGUACCAGGAUAAAACAACGAGAAGCAGAGAAGAUGUCCACUGAGACUGAGGACUGAGGGUCUAGGCAAUAAUUUAGAGGACUGGUGGGAGUUCCUUUCACCUAUGAUAUUCCAGAAUGACUAUCCUUGAAUUUAAUGCACUACUUUGUACAUCUUCUUUGAUUAGAAAUUUACCAAUAAAUACAAAUUUUCAGGAAAGUUCU